CCUGGCGGCGUGCUUAACACUUGACAAGUCGAACGAACCCUUCGGGUUAGUGGCGGACGGGUGAGUAACGCAAAUCUGCCCUCAGGAGGGGGACAACAGUUGGAAACGACUGCUAAUACCCCAUAUGCCGCGAGGUGAAAUGAAUUUCGCCUGAGGAUGAGCUCGCGUCUGAUUAGCUUGUUGGUGUAGGUAAUGGCUCACCAAGGGCAUCGAUCAGUAGCUGGUCUGAGAGGAUGAUCAGCCACACUGGGACUGAGACACGGCCCAGACUCCUACGGGAGGCAGCAGUGGGGAAUUUUCCGCAAUGGGCGAAAGCCUGACGGAGCAACGCCGCGUGAGGGAUGAAGGCCUCUGGGCUGUAAACCUCUUUUAUCAAGGAAGAAGAUCUGACGGUACUUGAUGAAUAAGCCACGGCUAAUUCCGUGCCAGCAGCCGCGGUAAUACGGGAGUGGCAAGCGUUAUCCGGAAUUAUUGGGCGUAAAGCGUCCGCACGCGGCCCUUCAAGUCUGCUGUAAAAAGUGGAGCUUAACUCCAUCAUGGGCAGUGGAAACUGUUGGGCUUGAAGUGUGGUAGGGGCAGAGGGAAUUCCCGGGUGUAACAGGGUAGAAAUGCGUAGAUAUCGGGGA
Molecule: ribosomal RNA, 626 nt
Filed under: uncultured Synechococcus sp.
Lineage: Bacteria; Bacillati; Cyanobacteriota; Cyanophyceae; Synechococcales; Synechococcaceae
Description: bacterial SSU rRNA
Rfam family: Bacterial small subunit ribosomal RNA
Source: RNAcentral